AUCAAUAAGCGGAGGAAAAGAAACCAACAGGGAUUGCCCCAGUAACGGCGAGUGAAGCGGCAACAGCUCAAAUUUGAAAUCUGGCCCCAGGCCCGAGUUGUAAUUUGCAGAGGAUGCUUUUGGCGAGGUGCCUUCCGAGUUCCCUGGAACGGGACGCCAUAGAGGGUGAGAGCCCCGUCUGGUUGGAUACCGAGCCUCUGUAAAGCUCCUUCGACGAGUCGAGUAGUUUGGGAAUGCUGCUCAAAAUGGGAGGUAUAUGUCUUCUAAAGCUAAAUAUUGGCCAGAGACCGAUAGCGCACAAGUAGAGUGAUCGAAAGAUGAAAAGCACUUUGAAAAGAGGGUUAAAAAGUACGUGAAAUUGUUGAAAGGGAAGCGCCUAUGACCAGACUUGGGCCCGUUGAAUCAUCCAGCGUUCUCGCUGGUGCACUUCUUCGGGCACAGGCCAGCAUCAGUUUGGCUUGGGGGAAAAAGGCUUUGGGAACGUAGCUCCUCGGAGUGUUAUAGCCCUUUGCAUAAUACCCUGAGCCGGACUGAGGUUCGCGCAUCUGCAAGGAUGCUGGCGUAAUGGUCAUCAGCGACCCGUCUUGAAACACGGACCAAGGAGUCGUCUUCGUAUGCGAGUGUUCGGGUGUAAAACCCCUACGCGUAAUGAAAGUGAACGCAGGUGAGAGCUUCGGCGCAUCAUCGACCGAUCCUGAUGUUCUCGGAUGGAUUUGAGUAAGAGCAUACGGGGCCGGACCCGAAAGAAGGUGAACUAUGCCUGUAUAGGGUGAAGCCAGAGGAAACUCUGGUGGAGGCUCGCAGCGGUUCUGACGUGCGAAUCGAUCGUCAAAUAUGGGCAUGGGGGCGAAAGACUAAUCGAACCUUCUAGUAGCU
Molecule: ribosomal RNA, 876 nt
Filed under: Leptobacillium latisporum
Lineage: Eukaryota; Fungi; Ascomycota; Sordariomycetes; Hypocreales; Cordycipitaceae
Description: Leptobacillium sp. SP-2022a partial large subunit ribosomal RNA
Rfam family: Eukaryotic large subunit ribosomal RNA
Source: RNAcentral